GCGACGGUCGAGGAGUUCCUCGCUCUCGGCGCUGCGGGCGUCGGAUAGCUGUUCGGCGCUGCCCGCCGCC
This 70-nucleotide transfer RNA is filed under the name Halobellus salinus. RNAcentral's name for it is "tRNA-Arg". Lineage: Archaea; Methanobacteriati; Methanobacteriota; Halobacteria; Halobacteriales; Haloferacaceae. The record is from RNAcentral.